Molecule: ribosomal RNA, 782 nt
Filed under: Pogonostoma subtiligrossum
Lineage: Eukaryota; Metazoa; Arthropoda; Insecta; Coleoptera; Carabidae
Description: partial 16S ribosomal RNA
Rfam family: Bacterial large subunit ribosomal RNA (bases 1-565)
Source: RNAcentral
CUUUAAGGUCUAGUCUGCCCAAUGAUUUUAUUUAAUGGCCGCAGUAUAUUGACUGUGCAAAGGUAGCGUAAUCAUUAGUUUUUUAAUUGAAAGCUUGUAUGAAAGGCUUGACGAGGUAAUUACUGUCUCUGUUUAAAAUUUUUAGAAUUUAACUUUUGAGUAAAAAGGCUUAAAUUAAAAUAAAAGACGAGAAGACCCUAUAGAUCUUUAUAUUUAAUUGAUUUAAGUUAUUUAAGUAUUAAUAAUUAAUUUAAUUUAAUUAUAUAUUUUAUUGGGGUAAUAUAAAGAUUUAAUAAAUUCUUUAUUUAUAAACAUUAAUUAAUGAUUUAAUGAUCCGUAUUUAACGAUUAGAAGAUUAAGUUACCUUAGGGAUAACAGCGUAAUGUUUUUUGAGAGUUCAUAUCGACAGAAAAGAUUGCGACCUCGAUGUUGGAUUAAAAAUUAUUUUAGGUGCAGAAGCUUAAAAAUUUGGUCUGUUCGACCAUUAAAUUUUUACAUGAUCUGAGUUCAGACCGGCGUAAGCCAGGUCGGUUUCUAUCUUUAUUUAAUUAGAAUAUUUUAGUACGAAAGGACCAAUUAUUUAAUAUAUUAAUAUUUAUAUUUAUUGAAUAUUAUUAUUACUUUGGCAGAUUAGUGCAAUGAAUUUAGAUUUCAUGUAUGUAAUUUUUUUACAAGUAAUACUUGUAUUAUAUAGAUUUAGUUUUUAUAAUUAUUCGUAUGUUAAUUUUAGUAAUUUGUGUAUUAAUUGGGGUUGCUUUUUUAACUUUAAUAGAACGAAAAGU